UUUGGCGGGGUAACGGCCCACCAAGACCGCGAUGUCUAGGGGAACUGAGAGGUUGGUCCCCCACACUGGAACUGAGACACGGUCCAGACUCCUACGGGAGGCAGCAGUGAGGAAUAUUGGACAAUGGCCGGAAGGCUGAACCAGCCAUGCCGCGUGAAGGAUAAGGUCCUAUGGAUUGUAAACUUCUUUUGAGAGGGAGCAAUAAGGUGUACGCGUACACCGAUGAGAGUACCUUUCGAAUAAGCAUCGGCUAACUCCGUGCCAGCAGCCGCGGUAAUACGGAGGAUGCGAGCGUUAUCCGGAUUUAUUGGGUUUAAAGGGUGCGUAGGCGGUUUAUCAAGUCAGCGGUGAAACGCAAGGGCUUAACCCUUGACCUGCCGUUGAAACUGGUGGACUGGAAUGCGGAUGCUGUGGGAGGAAUGUGUGGUGUAGCGGUGAAAUGCAUAGAUAUCACACAGAACACCGAUUGCGAAGGCAUCUCACAAAUCCGUGAUUGACGCUGAGGCACGAAAGUGUGGGGAUCAAACAGGAUUAGAUACCCUGGUAGUCCACACUGUAAACGAUGAUGACUCGCUGUCGGCGAUAUACAGUCGGUGGCCAAGCGAAAGCGAUAAGUCAUCCACCUGGGGAGUACGACCGCAAGGUUGAAACUCAAAGGAAUUGACGGGGGCCCGCACAAGCGGAGGAACAUGUGGUUUAAUUCGAUGAUACGCGAGGAACCUUACCCGGGCUCGAACGGUACAGGAAGGAUCAAGAGAUUGAGACGCCCUUCGGGGCCUGUAUCGAGGUGCUGCAUGGUUGUCGUCAGCUCGUGCCGUGAGGUGUCGGCUUAAGUGCCAUAACGAGCGCAACCCUUGCCGUCAGUUACCAGCACGUAGAGGUGGGGACUCUGGCGGGACUGCCACCGUAAGGUGAGAGGAGGGGGGGGAUGACGUCAAAUCAGCACGGCCCUUACGUCCGGGGCGACACACGUGUUACAAUGGUGGGUACAGAGGGCGGCUACCUGGCGACAGGAUGCAAAUCUCGAAAACCCAUCUCAGUUCGGAUCGGAGUCUGCAACUCGACUCCGUGAAGUUGGAUUCGCUAGUAAUCGCGCAUCAGCCAUGGCGCGGUGAAUACGUUCCCGGGCCUUGUACACACCGCCCGUCAAGCCAUGAAAGCCGGGGGUGCUUGAAGUCCGUGACCGAGAGGAGCGGCCUAGGG
RNAcentral lists this ribosomal RNA (1203 nucleotides) under uncultured bacterium. RNAcentral's name for it is "bacterial SSU rRNA". It matches the Rfam family "Bacterial small subunit ribosomal RNA", at positions 248 to 1462 of the family's 1533-position model. The record is from RNAcentral.